GCCUGGGAUGGCUCAGGUGGUAGAGCAUGAGACUUUUGAUCUCAAGGUUGUGGGUUCGAGUCCCACGUUGGGCA
Non-coding RNA from Zootoca vivipara (common lizard), 74 nucleotides. Lineage: Eukaryota; Metazoa; Chordata; Lepidosauria; Squamata; Lacertidae. The record is from the annotation of a RefSeq genome assembly.